AAUAUAUCGUGUAGCCAAGGAUGAAUUGCCGGCGUUUCGCUAUCGAUUGGUACAUACGUGGGCGCCCGGCAAGUCAUUUCAGGCUACAUGUUUGCCUCU
This 99-nucleotide microRNA precursor is filed under the name Oryza punctata. Lineage: Eukaryota; Viridiplantae; Streptophyta; Magnoliopsida; Poales; Poaceae. The record is from RNAcentral.